Hypanus sabinus (Atlantic stingray) is the source of this 3052-nucleotide long non-coding RNA. RefSeq lists it as uncharacterized. The record is from RefSeq and is a predicted model, not a curated record. The transcript is spliced from 3 exons. Lineage: Eukaryota; Metazoa; Chordata; Chondrichthyes; Myliobatiformes; Dasyatidae.
UUCUAACAAAUGUUCCUUGCUCAGCUUCUUUUUGUAAACAAGAACCAGUCUUCAGUUCUUAAUGUUAAUUGCAAGAAUUUAAAAGGACAUCUGGGCUGGCUGCGAUCGGAUGUGGUUUGCAAAGUGAAAUGACCACGAAACUCCUUGCCUGUAUUAGCCAAAUGCAAGACAAUGGGGCUGUGUUAAUUUUCCUGCUUUAAAUCAGAGAUUGUCUGCCUGGUGUCAGUGGUUGCAUAACCAGGACCUGAGAUAUGUACCAGCUGCUCAUACGACCAUCUAACACCUGCUCCCGUGGCUUCACGUGACCCUGAUUUGGGGGGUGGGGCACCUAACAAGAGUGACUUUCAGACCUGCGAAGGCUGUUAUGGGAACACCAAUGCCCUUGAAUGGAAAAACGCACAGGAAGUAGUGGAUACAGCCUAGUCCAUCAUGUGCAAACCCUCCCCACCAUUGAGCACGUCUGCAAGGAGCGCUGUCAUAGAAUAAAGAAAGAGUGACCAGAAACAUAUAUAACAUGAACUGCAGAGUCUAAUCCAUAAACCGCAUUGAUUAAUCCUUGCCGUCGCAUGUCCGCAGAAGGUGUGAAACCCCUCCCAUCAAAACCUGGCCACAGUUAUGGAUUCCCACUGCCCUGCACUACUAACAAACAACAGGAGUGUUCCGCAUGGUGAAUUUUUAUCACUGUAUCAUUCUGCAAGCUGCUGAACUUGUGCUUGCCUGUUUCUCUGCUUAAAGGCUAUGCUUUGGUUGGACGUGUGUGGCAGCCGCUUGCUUUCUUCAGCUGCCAGCUCUGUCACCCUGAAAGGGAGUACAAUACUUCUGGCAGUGAGCUUCUCGGUCUAUCUGGCUGUCCACCAUUUUUGUUUUCUUUUAGAGAGUCUCCAUUUCACAGCACUCGUUGACCAUAAACCCCUUGUGCACAUGAUGGCCAAAAUAUCAGACCUUUUGGUCUGUAUGGCAGCAACGCCAUUUGGCCUACAUAUCCGAGUUCACAACUGAAAUACAACAUCUCGAGCGGAAAAGUAAUGCUGUGGCUGACUACCUCUCACGGGCAGCCAUAAGGCCAUACAUAAAGGGGUUGACUAUGCCGGCAUGGCAGCCAACCAAGCUACUAACCCAAAGGUCCAGGCUUACUGAACAGCGGUCAUAUGGGCCUAUGGUUGACUGACGUUAAGUCGGGGAAGUUGGGGUUUCUCUGCAGUGGCAAGAAUCAGCCCCAGACACUGCAGUGACUACCUGGUAUGACAAAAUCUUCUUGAAUUGGAAAGGAUGGAUUCAGAUUUAUUUCUCACACCUACAUGGAAACAUAAAGUGAAAUGUGUCAUUUGCAUUAACAAACCACACACCCAAGGAUGUGUUGCGAGCACCCGUAAAUGUCACCACCCAUGCUGGCACCAACACAGCAUGCCCAUAAUGUUACCCAGCUACCUUGGUUACAUAAGGACUAACAUCAUAUGUGGGAAUACGAAGGUUCUGCAGAGGGUCUGUGAACAACUCAAGAGCAAGACAAAACUCAGACCACAAGUGUACAGAAGGUUAAAGAGAUCAGAAAGCUGGAUAUGUGACCUAAAGACUGCAAGGGGUAGAAAUGGGUUUAAUUAGUUGAGGAAAGGAGUAGCUGUUUCCCUGGGGUGGGCUUCAACUGAAUCAGACUGAGACCAGUGCCUUGUCAACCAAAUAACAAGAGCCAUUCUCAACACUCAACCUGAACAGUUAGUAUGCAGAAAUGGUUCUAGUGAUGGGAGAUUUGGAAAGUUAAAGAGAAAGUUAUUACCCUGUAAUACUCAGGCUCCUGAACUAGCAUGUACAACUUCACUUAUCGACUGAUUCCACCACCUAGUCUCACUUUCAAGGAUACUGUUUUAUAUAUAUCAGAGAUGCACACACGUUGAACUAGUUGCACUGAUGUAAUGUGUGGCAUUUGAGUUACUGUCACCUUCCUGUCAGUUUGAACCAGUCUGGCCAUAUUUCUCUGACCUCUGACCUCUUUCAUUAACAGGGUAUUUUUGCCCACAGAGUUGCCACUCACCAGAUGCUUUACUUUUGUUUGUCCCUCCAUUCUCUGUAGACUCUAGUGACUGUUGUGCAUAACCCCCCAAGAGAUCAGCAGUUUCUGAGGUACUCAAGCCACCCAUUCUGGCACCAACAAUCAUUCCACGGUCAAGGUCACUUAGAUCAUAUUUCUUCCCUAUUCUGAUAGUUGGUAUGAACAUUAACUGAACCUCUUCACCAUGUCUGCAUGCUUUUAUGCAUUGAGUUGCUGCCACAUGAUUAGAUAGUUGCAUUUAUGAAUAGGUGUACAGCUGUCCCUAAUAAUGUGGCCACUGAGUGUGCUCGUUCCCCUUCACAUAACAGUUAAAGAAGUAAAGCCAACCCCAACAUCUUUCUUUUAGAAAAACUGUUUCACAGCACUUUGAAGUAUAGUGUGUGAUGUCUGGCAUGUUAGAUGCAGGAAUCUUCAUACAUUUCAUCCACAUCAUUUGGUGUAAUGACUUGUUCUACUUUCAGCCAGUUUCUUUAACCAAGAGCAGGUGUCACAGCAGGUAACAGGAGGCUUCCUUUGAGCCUUAUGAUUAAAUAUGAUACUUUCUGUACCAGAAGAUGUAAAGUUCAAUUUCACAAGAUUUCUCUGAGUAUUAGAUGAUUUCUGAACUGAUUCAUUUUCUAGAACAGAGACUAAACUUUAAAAAAAACUUCACCUUUGUAAGAUACUUUAGGAUGUCUUAAACUUGUGAAAAAUGCUUAUCUUUCUGUCUUUGCAAUAUACUCACCUGGACUAUGGAAAAACUUAUUUUACACUUUCUUAUUGAGAGUAACUAGUUUGUACUUUUCCUUGGUGCAUAAAAUAUUUUUUUUCAUUUUAUGCCAAGUGAAGUUGCUUGUAAAAAUCAAAUUGCUACAUUUAGCAAAAGUAAUAUUGAAGAAUGUCGGCCGUCUCAUAUAGAGAAAAGACAUGCUAAUGUGGGAUGUGUUUGCUAAUCUCUGAACGAAGUGCAGGUUUUGUACAAAGCAUUCUGAGAAUGAUCCUGACCAUGAUUACUUACAUCAUACA